This 309-nucleotide ribosomal RNA is filed under the name Triticum aestivum (bread wheat). RNAcentral's name for it is "partial small subunit ribosomal RNA". Lineage: Eukaryota; Viridiplantae; Streptophyta; Magnoliopsida; Poales; Poaceae. The record is from RNAcentral.
AUGAGGGGCCUUAUAGUACAGAUGUGGCCUAGCGACUCCCUUCCCUACAGCUACUUCGGCCUGGUGAGGCGGCUUGUGGAUGCCUGCCCAUGGCUGGAAGUCAUUAAGCGGUCCGUCUACAUCGAAGGUGCACGCCGGGCUUUUGCCCGUGCGAAGGUGCACUGGGCCAAGAUGGACGCCGAGAAGCUGGUGAAGGAGGGGCCGCUGCAGGGCAAGGAGCAUCGCCACCCUGAAAUGUAUUAUGAGGGUGUCCUGAAGGGUGCCCGUCUUGUGGCGUAUGAGUGUGCGAAGGAUGUAAUUUUUGAAUGA